Long non-coding RNA from Suricata suricatta (meerkat), 947 nucleotides. RefSeq lists it as uncharacterized. NCBI's taxonomy places the organism in Eukaryota, Metazoa, Chordata, Mammalia, Carnivora, Herpestidae. The record is from RefSeq and is a predicted model, not a curated record. The transcript is spliced from 3 exons.
AGUCUGAGCGGGGUAGGAAGACCCAAAGCCACGUGAGUCAGGAUCUGGCUGGGCUGCACCUGACCGCCACCCUGCCUUCUGCAGCCCUGUGGGAGGAAGACCGAGGAAAUCUGUCUGCUUCUCAGCUUGAAUGCCGCUAGUUUGAGCUUGGGAGCAAGAAGAUUGUUGACUAAAUGUGACGGUUGCGAGGACAUCAGCUGCUCUGUCCCUGCUCUGUGAUAAGCAGAACGCGCCCUGUUAGCCUCGAGUCGCUGGUGAAGCGGUGAGGAAACUGUGACUCAGCCUGGCCUGCAUCUUCCCCCUGGCCCGCUGGCUACACUGAGGGCCAGCACCAGGCAUCUGCUCCCUGUACGGGCUUGACUGCUGAUGACAAACAAUGACAUCUGACUUCCUUAUUCUUUGAUGAACAAGGUUACCAUGGAAGGCCCUAGAAUGAUAACAAAUGUCCAGGAGAGACGGAGAAGAGAAGACGGUCGUGUGCAGACCAAGGCAGAGACUGGAAAUAUGCAACCAUAAGUCAAGGACUACCUGGAGUGACAAGAAAGGGGGAGGCAAAGAAGGACCCUCACCCAGAGCCUCAGAGGGGUAUGGCCCUGCUGACCUUGACUUUGGAUCUGUGGCCUCCAGAUUGUGAGAGAGUAAAUUUCCAUUGUUCUAAGCCGUUGAGUUUGCAGUGAUCUGUUACAGCAGCUGCAUGAAACUCAUACAUCCUCCUUGGGAGAGGUAACGGCCGGGAAAUGGGCAUGAGGGAUGGGAGUCAAGACUCAAAGCUUUCUCAGAGAGCAAGGGAUCCCUCCCGUCCCCGUGGAUUUGCCUGUUCUGGAAAUGCCAUAUAAAUGGAAUCAUACACUUAAAAAACAAAGAAAGAAAGGGCUCUUUGCCUGAGUGAGAAAGUUUUCAGUAAAUUAAAAAUCAGGUAAGGAAUAAAAAGUUGAAUUAGGCAGUGA